UCUGAAACCGAUGUUAACUACU
Molecule: microRNA, 22 nt
Filed under: Glycine max (soybean)
Lineage: Eukaryota; Viridiplantae; Streptophyta; Magnoliopsida; Fabales; Fabaceae
Description: gma-miR10193a
Source: miRBase by way of RNAcentral